Molecule: ribosomal RNA, 450 nt
Filed under: uncultured bacterium
Lineage: Bacteria
Description: bacterial SSU rRNA
Rfam family: Bacterial small subunit ribosomal RNA
Source: RNAcentral
UCGUCAGCUCGUGUCGUGAGAUGUUGAGUUAAGUCCCGCAACGAGCGCGACCCCUAUUGUAAGGUGCUGCCAUUAAGUUGAGCACUGUAGCGAGACUGCCUGGGUUAACCAGGAGGAAGAUGGGGAUGACGUCAAAUCAUCAUGCCCCUUAUGUGUAGGGCUACGCACGUGCUACAAUGGCAAGUACAGAGAGACGCAAACCCGUGAGGUCGAGCAAAUCCCUUAAAACUUGUCCCAGUUCGGAUUGUAGGCUGAAACUCGCCUACAUGAAGCCGGAGUUGCUAGUAAUAGCGAAUCAGAAUGUCGCGGUGAAUACGUUCCCGGGUCUUGUACACGCCGCCCGUCACACCAUGAGAGUUGGCAAUACCCAACGUCCGUGAGCUAACCGCAAGGAGGCAGCGGCCUAAGGUAGGGUCAGCGAUUGGGGGAAGUCGUAACACGGUAACCGUA